This 88-nucleotide transfer RNA is filed under the name Methanonatronarchaeum sp. AMET6-2. RNAcentral describes it as "tRNA-Ser". It matches the Rfam family "tRNA". Rfam says of the family: Transfer RNA (tRNA) molecules are approximately 80 nucleotides in length. Their secondary structure includes four short double-helical elements and three loops (D, anti-codon, and T loops). RNAcentral also lists the same sequence under 1 other name. The record is from RNAcentral. Lineage: Archaea; Methanobacteriati; Methanobacteriota; Methanonatronarchaeia; Methanonatronarchaeales; Methanonatronarchaeaceae.
GCUGGGGUAGCCAAGUCCGGCCCAAGGCGCCAGCCUUGAGAGCUGGUGUGCCUAACGGCACUCAGGGGUUCAAAUCCCCUCCCCAGCG